Crotalus tigris (Tiger rattlesnake) is the source of this 3057-nucleotide RNA transcript. It is a transcript of the gene named protein NEL-like, with no coding region annotated. NCBI's taxonomy places the organism in Eukaryota, Metazoa, Chordata, Lepidosauria, Squamata, Viperidae. The transcript is spliced from 15 exons. The record is from RefSeq and is a predicted model, not a curated record.
CCGGUGGACAGAGCGGCGGCGGCGGCAGCGGCUCCUGUUGCUGCCAUUGGUAACGGCCGCGAGGUUUAGCCAGGAAGCCCAAAGGGAGAAAGCGAUCUAGGCGCGCCUUAGAUGCCUCUUCCCCGCGCUACUCGCCUGGCUUCCCCCGGGAAACUCUCGGCAUUGCCCCAGGCGCGACGCGCUCUCCGGCUCUUUUUUGCCACUGUUGACAGAGGAGGCUUCAGGUUUCGAGGCGCCGGGAGGAUGCUGCUCUCGGCUUGACACACCCGGGAGGAUGCUGCGAGCUUUGGGGCUGGCUCUGACCUUGUUGAUUUUCGCCUGCGGGAUCUUCAGUUUGUCCUGAGGGAAAGCUUGAGAGGCUCCGAGCAUUGCUUUUUUCGCCGCGAUCCUCUUCCUGAGGAGAACUAUGGACUGAUCACCGCUCCUUCUCCAACCCUAUGGCGUCCCCGUCGGUAUCCGCGAGCACUUUGUGCCUGCUCUUCUGCCUGAGCUCCGUGUUCGGCAUUGGCGUGGACCCGUCGGUGCAGAUUGAUGUGCUGAGCGAGUUGCAGUUGGGGGAUUCUGUGGCUGGAGUGCGGCAAGUUCAGGGACUGCACAACGGCAGCAAAGCUUUCUUCUUCCAAGGAACUGCAAGAAAUAUAAAAGCAUCUCCAGAGAAAGCUGAACUUUUUUUUCAGAAACUGAGAAAUAAACAUGAAUUUACCAUGUUGGUAUCUCUCAAACAAACACUUUUAAAUUCAGGUGUUAUUUUUUCUGUUCAUCAUUUAGAUCACAGAUACUUGGAACUAGAAAGCAGCGGCCAGAGAAAUGAAAUUAGAUUGCACUAUCGUUCAGGAAACCAUCGCUCACACACCGAAAUAUUUCCUUACAUUUUGGCAGAUGACAAGUGGCACAGGUUGUCCUUAGCAAUCAGUGCAUCGCAUUUGAUUUUGCAUGUAGACUGCAAUAAAAUAUAUGAGAGAGUGGUGGAAAAGCCGUAUAUGAAUUUACCAGUUGGCAUUACAUUUUGGUUGGGACAGAGGAAUAGCGCUCAUGGUUUUUUCAAGGGCAUAAUGCAAGAUGCGAAAUUUCUUAUCAUGCCUCAAGGAUUUAUCUCUCAGUGCCCAGAUCUUAAUCGCACAUGCCCAACGUGUAAUGACUUCCAUGGUCUUGUGCAGAAAAUAAUGGAGUUGCAGGAUAUUUUAGCCAAAACAUCUGCAAAGCUGUCCCGAGCUGAGCAAAGGAUUAAUAAGUUGAAUCAGUGCUAUUGUGAAAGAACCUGCACUAUGAAGAGUAUCAGCUACAGAGAAUUUGAAUCUUGGACAGAUGGCUGUAAGAACUGCACUUGCAUGAAUGGUACUAUCCAAUGUGAAAGAUUGAUUUGCCCACUUUUUGAUUGUCCUCAUAAUUCUGCGCCUGCGUACGUUGAUGGCAAGUGCUGCAAGGACUGUCAACCAAUCUGUGUAUUUGAAGGCAAAACCUAUUUUGAAGGAGAAAGAAAAUCGGUAUAUUUAGGCUCAGAGGUCUGUUUUCUGUUUGAAUGCAAGAAUUACAAAAUGCAACGUACAAUGGAGUUGAAUUGUCCUGCUUUGAACUGUCCUGAGUCUCAACAAAUAUCCUUAUCUAAAAGAUGUUGCAAAGUUUGUAAAGGCCAUGACUUUUGCUCUGAAGGACAUAAGUGUUUAGAAAAUUCUUUUUGCAGAAAUGUUGAAGAAAAGGCAGUUUGUAGCUGCCGAGAUGGUUUCCAAGCUCUUCGAGAUGACAGUGUAUACUGUGAAGAUAUUGAUGAAUGUUCUGAAGGGAGACAUUACUGUCGGGAAAAUACCAUGUGUGUCAACAUACCAGGGUCAUUUAUGUGUGUCUGCAAAACAAGUUACAUCAGAAUUGAUGACUAUUCUUGUACAGUUCAUACUGGAAGCAUCCAAGACUAGAACACCACUGAAUUUAUACAUGGAUUAUUCAUUUUGGACUUAUGACAUAUAUGGGACAUGCAUAAAGAGGAGGAGCCUAUGUACACUGGCAUUUAAAAACCAUUUUAACUCAGCAAUCAGCAGUGUCCCUCAUCAAAUGUCCCUUCAAAAGGAAUUCUACUUUUUUAUGGUGGAAUAUUCAAAGAAUUUUUAAAAGAAGGACUUUGUAUCGUCAAAGCAGAAGCAACAUAAACAAAUGGGCAAAGCAAAGGUUUAAGAAGAAACAAGAUCCCUACACUAUUUUUUUUUAAAAAAAUCCUGAUAUUAUUGAAAAUUUGCACCUCAUAUUUGUGUAUUCCAGAAAAGAAAUUUAUUGCAAUAAAAAGGGCAAACUGAGAGGGAAAAUACACAGAUUUUAAAAUAAUGUAGGAUUUCUAUCGGUUGAUUGCAUAGAUCUAGGAUACCAGUUUUCAGGUUUAAGCAAAAACCAAGCCAGGUUGAUUAGCUGUGGAUUCAGAAACCAACUAAUUUCAGAAAUGUUCCAUCUUUAAUUUGAGAUAGGAUGAAGCUCCCCAUACCAACUUGGCUCCUAAUGUGGAGGCCCACUGAACUGAUGGUUCCUAUUUCAUUGUUAAAGAUCUGCUGUGCUUCUGCUGCUAAGCCUUGAAUACUAUAAAUCUAUCGGGGGAUAUAUUUCAAAGUUCCACAUUCAUUCAUGUCAAGUGAUUUUUUUUCUAGGCUUUCUUGGGCUUUAAAUUUCUACAUACCCACCACUGUCAUAUUGCAGCAUUUUGAGGAAAACACUUGUAGCAGUACUGAAACAAUCUUUGGAUGAAACCUGUGUGAUUGAACUGAUCUUCCUUUUGAAGAAUCUCUGACAGGCCUCAGAGGAACUCCAGAGUUCCCUGAAUCACAUUUUGAAAGCUAAUAAUCUCAAGCAUCAAAGUAGAGGCAUAAAAUGAAAUGUCUUGAUGUAUCUAAGCUGUCUAAAACUAAAUAUUUUCUAUAUAUUUUAAAAGAAUAUCUGAUUAGCAACUAGAUUAAUGUGGAUUAAUAAACAAUCACUAGAAUAAUGAUGUGUCUGCAUAAUUACUAGAAUAAUGCUGUGUUAGUAGUAUGUGACUAACCUAAUGCGCAUUGCACUUGGAUAUUAUUUAUGUAGUAAACU